CCUACGGGGGGCAGCAGUCGAGAAUCAUUCACAAUGGGGGAAACCCUGAUGGUGCGACGCCGCGUGGGGGAAUGAAGGUCUUCGGAUUGUAAACCCCUGUCAUGUGGGAGCAAAUUAAAAAGAUAGUACCACAAGAGGAAGAGACGGCUAACUCUGUGCCAGCAGCCGCGGUAAUACAGAGGUCUCAAGCGUUGUUCGGAAUCACUGGGCGUAAAGCGUGCGUAGGCUGUUUCGUAAGUCGUGUGUGAAAGGCCCGGGCUCAACCCGCGGACGGCACAUGAUACUGCGAGACUAGAGUAAUGGAGGGGGAACCGGAAUGCUGGGGGUAGCAGUGAAAGGCGUAGAGAUCGAGAGGAACACUCGUGGCGAAGGCGGGUGCCUGGACAUUAACUGACGCUGAGGCACGAAGGCCAGGGGAGCGAAAGGGAUUAGAUACCCCUGGAGUC
RNAcentral lists this ribosomal RNA (446 nucleotides) under uncultured bacterium. Its description in RNAcentral is "partial 16S ribosomal RNA". It matches the Rfam family "Bacterial small subunit ribosomal RNA", at positions 338 to 795 of the family's 1533-position model. The record is from RNAcentral.